UACGUCAGCGGCAGACGGGUGAGUAACGCGUGGGAACAUACCUUUUGGUUCGGAACAACACAGGGAAGCUUGUGCUAAUACCGGAUAAGCCCUUACGGGGAAAGAUUUAUCGCCGAAAGACUGGCCCGCGUCUGAUUAGCUAGUUGGUGAGGUAACGGCUCACCAAGGCGACGAUCAGUAGCUGGUCUGAGAGGAUGAUCCCCCACACUGGUACUGAGACACGGACCAG
This 229-nucleotide ribosomal RNA is filed under the name uncultured bacterium. Its description in RNAcentral is "partial 16S ribosomal RNA". It matches the Rfam family "Bacterial small subunit ribosomal RNA", at positions 88 to 334 of the family's 1533-position model. The record is from RNAcentral.